GUUUAUGCUUUACUGUCGUUCGAUGGACGGCAUUUGCCGUGUAAACGUAACGAACAGUUGGUUGCUGAAAAACUACAGUUGUUUCUUGAUAAAAAGCUGACGAUGAUUGUAUACAACUUUUGUAUUAGAUGUUUGUUAAAAAAUUGGGAAAGAUUUAUUACAACUGGCUUUGAAUGGAGAAGAUAAAAUGACGCAAUGAACUUAGUUCUGUUGUCGGUUGAUGCAACCGUGACGCGAGUUUACGCGACCAUGACGAGACAGUUUCUAAAGUAGCUCGGUUCUUUCCGAAUAGGUUACGCACGGUGUUUGAGAAAAUCGAAAUGACACGGAGGAAAUUUUCUAGGAAAUUUGAAAUGUACAUUCUUAGAACAUGAAAUAAUAAAAUAUUUGUCGUACAUAGCCUGACUCGACAAACUUAUUCUAUAUUGGACGAAAACAAGCAAUGUUUAUAUUGCAUCUUUGAUACCUGUCGUUGCAUAUUGGCGAGGAACGUUGAACGAGUAUUUUUCGAAUAUUCUUUUUUUAAGAGGAACGAAUCUGUACGAAUGGACGAUAGAGCGUACGAGAGAAAGACAAGGGUAAAGCAUCUUCUCGAGUAAUGUAUCGAACUAUAUUUAAUUACCAAAAAUAAUAUACGUAGAAGAAGCCAAGUAUGGCAUCUAAAAAAAAGGAGUGAGAUCUAAAAAGACAAUAAGAUAGAGGUUGCAAUUAUAUAAGAAGUAGAUAGUGGUGAUAGAAAUAGAUGUGCAUAUGUAUAUAUGCAAUGGAAACGUAGAUAGAACUGGUAUUGCCAGUGAUGAUGUUGAUGAUGCUGAUAGAGGUAGUGUUAAUAGCGUUGACGAUGGUAUACUAGUGAUUCCAAUGAUUGCAACAGCGAGUAACGGUGACGGUGACUAUGACGAUGACGAUGACGAUUACGAUGACGAUACUGGUAGCGACGUUAACGACGUCAAUAAUAAUAAAAGCUAUAGAAGAAGAGACAGUCCAUGGAAGCACGAUACUGGUGAAAAGUUCGAGUAUCGUACGAACGACGAUAGCCAGCUGGAGACUAUGCAUCGGCAACAGAGGCUUCGUUCCUCAUCGUCAUCUUUAUCAUCGUUAACCUUACCGCUCUCGAUGUCUCGUUCAUCUAUCCCAUCCACAACUACAUCGAUAUCGUCUGUAACGAUGCCGUCUUCUACGGCAACCUCAACGUCGCCAUCGCCGUCGCCAUCGACGCCGUCGUCGCCGUUAUCGUCGUCAUCGCCGUUGUCAUCGUCGUCCAUCUUUCUACCAUUGUCAACGACGUGGCCGACAUCGAAUUUGUCCUCAUAUUCCUGGAGCGUACAACAAACCUCAUGUUCGAGGUUACCUUCGUUACCAAGCGAAUCGUCGAUCGUGUCAACUGUAUCGAUACCCUGCCCAAAACUCGUCUCUGUGUUAGCUUGGUCUGUGACACUGUUACUCGUUUCGUCGUGCAUCGGUCUAACGGACGCUGGCAUCUUGAAUGGACAUCCUUUGGGUAAAAGGUCCUUUAUUGAUAUUCAAUGUAAGGGUAUAUACGAUAAAAGUAUCUUUGCCCGGCUGGACCGUAUCUGCGAGGAUUGUUAUAACCUGUUUCGGGAACCUCAAUUACAUCAACUAUGCAGGAAAAACUGCUUUACAUCAGACUACUUCAAAGGAUGCUUAGACGUACUGUUGUUACAAGACGAAGUAGAGAAGAUCCAAACAUGGAUCAAGACACUUCAUGGAGCGGAACCCGGGGUUUAGGUAGCUUCUUUUUUUAUGUUUAUGAUUUCUUAUCCGCGUAUUUUCAUUUUAUAGCUUUACAUGUAGUACUCUAUUCGCCGAACGCAUUCGCUUCUCUCAUUUUCCUCUCUUUUCGAUCUACCCCGAUCAUCUUAUCGUCCUUUUCCAUUUUAUCAUUUUCUUUCAGCAAUCAUUCAUCUUACUUAAGUCUCGAACAACUACUUCUUUCUCCUUCAACUACUCUUACCUCUUUAAACUCUUCUUCUUCUUCUUCUUCUUCUCCUUCUCAUUCCCCGCUUUCUGUUUCUCUUUCUCCAUCUCCAUUCUCAUCUUCUUGUCCUUCUAUAUUCCGAUUCUUGAAUUUUCUCUACUUUUUGAUUGCACGUUUGUUUUCGUUGCUCGUUAACAAAUUCUCGUUCCCGAUAGUUACCAACAUUUACGAUCGAACUAGUUGUUUUCCGAUCGACGGAAACUAUACGCCUUUGUCGUCGUCUCAAGAAUUUAUGAACCACGACUCAACGAUGCACACGAUAUACACGAUGAUACGCGACAUAUGCGCAUGCUGUAUGUGUCUUUAGGCAAAACUGCUUUGGUACGCAAUACUUCAACAGCUGCGUUCAAGCAUUGCUGCUUGAAGAUGAAAAGGAAAAGCUUUUGGAGAUGGUCGAGUACCUAGGCGGCAAGAAGUAAGAAGAAAAGAACACAGAGGCGCUUUCAUUACGAAGACUUUCAUUAACACGACAUCUACGAUGAACGAUUCUAACAAGACCAACGAGGAACUACGAGAAACGAGAAGCUAUAAGAAACAAUUUCGACAACGAUUUUCCGCAGAAUUUUGAGUAACUUAUCAACAUUCGUUCAUGCUAUUUUCUUCACAACGUCCGAAAGAUCGAACACCCCUGAACUGGGAAUUCGAGGCACGCUACGCAAUCAUACCUCUUCCUUUCAUUUCCAGGAUGCAUCAAAUGGAUUAGCAGUAAAAGUAAUUGAUUACUACACGCAUACACUCGUUCACACGGAGAGAGCGGGAAAAUGGGAGAGAAAAAGAAUGAGACAUGCAAAUAUGCAUCCGGGAGCAAACAGAUCUUUACAGAAACAGAUUGAAUUUUAGACAGAUUUAAUAGGCGAAUAUUCGAUAAAUUAUCAGUUAAAUAAAUCAGCAAAAUUUCUGCUUUUUCUAUAAGGCAAUCACAGAUCUACCGACAGAUCGAUGUGAUCGUAAACGUAAUAAAGUAUUAGUUAAAUUAUUCAUUUUUAUCGUUAUCUCGGCUUCGUCUCAUUCGUUUUUCUCCUUUUUCAAAGCAUUGCGUAUCAAAGCAUGAAAACGAAGUGGUAUGAGCUAAGUUUGCGUGCUAAUGAACCCAUAUACGAAUCUAGUCGACAGAAUAUUUGCGUUUUAUUCAAUUAAUCAUUAAUUAUUUACUUUAAAUACCGUCGUCCGUUAUUACAACGAUUAUUAUUUUUUAUCCUUUUAUAUUGAUAUUAUAAUUCUUAGAAAACUAGCAAUCGUACAUGUUACUUAUUCAGUAUAUGAUUCCAAUGGUUAAAGUAGAUUGAUAGAUAGUUAAAUAGUUAGAUAGAUAGAGCCUUUAUGAUGGUUUGUCGCAAUUACCAUUAAAAAUCUCGCCCAAACCGCUUUAUAUGCACUUGUGGAAGAGGACAAGAUUUUUGUUAUAGAUUUUAGUAACAGACUUCGAUUCGAUCGUCGAAAUGUUCAAAUGAUUGGCUAAAGCAGGGCAUUCGAUACAAAAACCGAGGAAGAUUCAUGGAUCAAAUUAAUACUACGUCACCAAUUAUCUACAGUAUUUCUAUUAUUAAUGCUAUAAUGUUACUGCUGCUACCACUAUUACUAUUACAAUUGCUGCUCCACAAAAACUACAAAAACAGUAAAAAUAAUUAUACUGUUGUUGUGGUUGUUAAAUCAUUGCUAUUGCUACCUCCAAUAGUACUGCUAUCGCUACUGUGACCGUUACUACCGCUAUUGUCGUUGCAAUUGUAUAUAAGUAAAAUUACUUGCAUCGUCACUCUCGUUGCUACUCUAUUUCCACUUUCACCACAACUAUUGCAUCUACUAAUAUUAUUCUUUCAAUUAUUGCUAUUAUUAACUUCAACUACAACGGCAAUGCAACGAUAUCGAUAUCAUCAUUGAAUACUAUUGCAGUUGCUAUUCGUUUUUAUUACUUCUAUUCUUAUUGAUUAUUACUACAGCUGCUACUGCUACUUCUACCAUUACAACCCUUACUAUUACUAUCGCUACUAUUAUUAUCGUUAGUACUAUUGCUAUUACUAUUACUAUUAUUAACUUAUUGCUAUUGCUGCGACUAUAACUUCUAUUACUGAUAUUGUGUUAUACUAUAUUAUAUUAUUUUAUAUUAUAUUGUUAGUUUAUAGCAUACUUAUUGUUGUUUAAUUGCUACGACAGUGUGACAACUUCGAGUCCACCUUUGAUUAUUUGGAAAAAUAUAGAGAAGCGAACAAAAUUGUGUGGUGUAGAUAGCUAAAACUACGACCAAUGCGAAUACUCGGUUGUUCAUGAGUCGAACGAUGAACGGAGUUAUGCGUAUGUAGUAAAUGUAUAAUAUUUAUUUAUUUGUUUACUUUUUUAGUUUGAGAAAGGCGAUCGUAAAGCGGUCACAAAACUUACGCAACAAUAUUCUUCGAAAUAGUUAUUGUAUGAAAAAAGUUACGAUCGAAAUUAAUCAUUUCCGCGUAUAAGUUUACAGCCCGAUAGAUGAUCUCUGAUUAUCAAGCAGGAACCGUUAAGUGGAUACUAUGAAAAUUCCAUUAACGUUACUAAA
This is an RNA transcript of Bombus pyrosoma, 4526 nucleotides long. It is a transcript of the gene named A-agglutinin anchorage subunit, with no coding region annotated. The record is from RefSeq and is a predicted model, not a curated record. The transcript is spliced from 4 exons. Lineage: Eukaryota; Metazoa; Arthropoda; Insecta; Hymenoptera; Apidae.